UACGAAGGGUGCAAACGUUGCUCGGAAUUACUGGGCGUAAAGCGUAUGUAGGCGGCUUCGUAAGACAGAUGUGAAAUCCCAGAGCUUAACUUUGGAACUGCAUUUGUGACUGCAAGGCUUGAGUAUCGGAGAGGUUGGCGGAAUUCCCAGUGUAGCAGUGAAAUGCGCAGAUAUUGGGAGGAACACCGAUGGCGUAAGCAGCCAACUGGACGAUUACUGACGCUGAGAUACGAAAGUAUGGGGAGCAAACAGG
Molecule: ribosomal RNA, 253 nt
Filed under: uncultured bacterium
Lineage: Bacteria
Description: partial 16S ribosomal RNA
Rfam family: Bacterial small subunit ribosomal RNA
Source: RNAcentral